RNAcentral lists this long non-coding RNA (1650 nucleotides) under Cyanistes caeruleus (blue tit). Its description in RNAcentral is "lncRNA (ENSCCEG00000013111.1)". The record is from RNAcentral. Lineage: Eukaryota; Metazoa; Chordata; Aves; Passeriformes; Paridae.
CCUGGCUUUGUAGCUGAAACAGAGUAGCUGACUCUCCCUACUUCUUGGCUUUUCUUUUUUUUUUUUCUUCCCUUCUAGUACAUAAUGUGAAAUCAUGUUAGGCCCAGAGCUCAGACGUGGGAGUCUGCAAGAGAAUGGCAGCUCCAAGACGGUAAGUGGAGGUGACAAGUUCCCAGUAAUAUUAAACAUUAACACUGAAUAUUUUGUUGGUAUUUAACUCCAUGAUGUUUCAUGUUACUGAGCAGAAUCAGAACAUCCCCUCUCACAACCACUAUUUUGUUCCUCACUCCUCUGCUCUCUACAUUCAGAAGGCAGGAAUGUGAGAUGCCAGCUCCUUCAGGGUUGAAAUGGCUUUAUACAAACUAACAGAAAGGGCAAGUUCAUGAAGUGGAGACAGGAUCUAAUUCUGUACUCAGCUGAGACUGACUUGAAGAUGGGGAGUACUUUGUGUACGAGAAUCUGCCAUCUGCUGAUCCCAAGCCUUUACAUGAGGUGCAAGGUGCCCAUGCUGGUGGCCUGAGCUCAGCCUUUUGGAGUGGGGAGCGUGAGAGCCAUGAACCAGGGCAAGCUCCAGCUUGAUGGGUGAGGCUGACUUCUGCUGGACUUUGCAACACAGGUAAAAAGGAAUGCACCAGGGUUUACACCAACCUUCAAGCAAACUCUUUUCUGAAUGCUCACCUCAAAAGUUUGCAGGCUCUGUUCUCCAGUGCUGACAGAAGAACUGUAGAUUGUAUAUUGACAGAACCAAGGACCACCUGCACUGAUUUUUGCCAGUGUUUUCCUGCUCUCCCCACAGAGGAGGAGCUCUGGGGAGGUGGCUCAGCUUGCAGGGGGACUGUCCACCAGAUGUCUUCUCCCACUCUUUUCACCAGAUGCUCCAGCUGCACAGAAGUUUUGGGUGAGGAACCCCCGCAGUCCAUAAAAAGAUUGGUGCAUCUCUAUAGACCAAGAGAGAGGAAAAAUUCUCCCCUCCUGAGAGGCCGGAGGUGGAAGGCAGCAGUCACUGUAGAUAUCAGGUGAAUUAUGAUUUCAAAGGAAGUUCAUGGGAAGGUCACAAAGCAAAAUCAGAGGUUAUUUCCACCACAGAGAGAGAUGAAGAGGAGACAGCAUUUCUUUCCUCAGCUUUUUCCUUCUUCACAAAUGCAGGAACUAUUUUUUUUGGUUACAGUAGAUUCCUGAGACAAAGGCUUUGGAAAAAACCCACUCUGCCUCUUGGGAAAUUUCCAUGGCAGUCAUUCCUUCAGCCUCCUUGUUGCAUUGGCCGUGGUUUGAGGUGACAUCCAGCCUGGUGUGGCCCUCCCCUUCUCCACGUCAGUUCUGAUUGCAUAGCAAACAUCAAGCAAACCCGAAGACCAGCAGCUUCCAUGAAAAUAUUCCCACUGACUUCAAAGAACUUUGGAUCCAGCCUCACAGUGGUCAAACACUAGACAAACCAGAGCAAUCAAAGCAACUCUUGCACACAGUUGCAGCUGCAGGCACACACACAGGACAGUAGAGACACGUGAUUAAUGAAUUUCAGCUCAGAGUGCACCCCAAAAUAGUUACCCUCGUGGGUGCAGAUGUGGGACCUUCAGAUACACAUAUGCAUGGAAGAAUACACGCCUGCAUGUAUGUCCUGGUGCAUUUAAAACAGUCUAUUAUGUAAAGCAU